CAGGCCUAACCAUGCAAGUCGAACGGUAAAUACUAUAGCAAUAUGGUAUGAGAGUGACGACGGGUGCGUAACACGUAUGCAACCUACCCAAGACGGGAGGAUAGCUCAGGAAACUUGGAUUAACCCUCCAUAAGAUCGUAGAGUGGCAUCACUUAGCAUAAAAACAUUAGUGGUUUUGGAUGGGCAUGCGCAUGAGGAGUUAGUUGUAGUGUAACGGACUACCAAGACGAUGAUCAUUAGGGGACCUGACAGGGUAUCCCCCACCCUGGCACUGAGAUACGGGCCAUACUCCUACGGGAGGCAGAGUAGGGAAUAUUGGUCAAUGGAUGCAAGUCUGAGCCAGCCAUGCCGCGGCAGGAAGACUGUCUUCUGGGUUGUAAACUGGUCCCGCCACCGGCUA
This 400-nucleotide ribosomal RNA is filed under the name uncultured bacterium. RNAcentral's name for it is "bacterial SSU rRNA". It matches the Rfam family "Bacterial small subunit ribosomal RNA", at positions 43 to 448 of the family's 1533-position model. The record is from RNAcentral.